UGCGGGGUUUGCCAAGCUGGCCAAAGGCGCAGGACUUAAGAUCCUGUCUCGCAGGAGUUCGCGGGUUCGAAUCCCGUACCCCGCAU
Molecule: transfer RNA, 86 nt
Filed under: Methanosaeta sp. PtaB.Bin039
Lineage: Archaea; Methanobacteriati; Methanobacteriota; Methanomicrobia; Methanotrichales; Methanotrichaceae
Description: tRNA-Leu
Rfam family: tRNA
About the family: Transfer RNA (tRNA) molecules are approximately 80 nucleotides in length.
Source: RNAcentral